Molecule: ribosomal RNA, 422 nt
Filed under: uncultured bacterium
Lineage: Bacteria
Description: partial 16S ribosomal RNA
Rfam family: Bacterial small subunit ribosomal RNA
Source: RNAcentral
AAUUUUGGACAAUGGGGCAAACCUCGAUCCAGCCAUGCCGGGUGUCUGAUGAUGGCCUUCGGGUUGUAAAGUCCUCUUGUCAGAGAAGAAAAGGUACCUCUUAAUACGAGGUACUGCUGACGGCAUCUGCAGAAUAAGCACCGGCCACCUACGUGCCAGUAGACGCGGUUAUACGUAGGGUGCAAGUGUUAAUCGGAAUUACUGGGCGUAAAGCGUGUGUAGGAGGUUCGGAAAAAAAGAUGUGAAAUCCCAGCGCUCAACCUUGGAACUGCAAUUUGAACUGCCGAGCUAGAGUAUGUCAGAGGGGGGUAGAAUUCAACGUGGAACAGUGAAAUGCGUAGAUAUGUGGGGGAAUACCGAUGGCGAAGGCAGCCCCCUGGGAUAAUACUGACGGUCAGACACGAAAGCGUGGGGAGCAAACA